CGGCUUCCAUCCUGAGGCCCGCAGAGCACUAGGCUGGGGGGGCGCCUGGGCAGGAGGCUGCACGGCAAAGGCACAGGGUGUGCCAUGGAGUUUCCCCGGGAGCCGCAGCCCUGCCCACUCUACAGGGCCCCCGGGAAGUGACUGCCUUGCCAGACAACAGAAUCCAGGGCCCAGCCACGGACAAUCAGGGGAAGGCGUGGAGGGAGCGAGGAGAGACGGGAGCCGGGCAUUAGAGGGGUUACCAGGUUUGGGGUCCUGCAGGCAGAAUUCAGGUGGCGGGGUGGGGACGCAUCGCCCCCAUAGUGAGCAGGGUCCAUGCAGUGCAGCCCAACGGGGGCUUUGUCCUGAGGACUGUGGCCAGCUGCUGAGGGUGUUUGGGAACACCCCUCCCAGAGGGGUGAGGCGGCCCAGCCUGCGGCUGCCAGAGGACACAGGUUCUGCUGCGGAACCCGCAGACAUGGCCAUAACAGGCCACAGUGCUCGGGCCCACACAGCCUGGACCCACAUGGCCCUGUGUCACCUCCUCAGGGGCAGGCUUCAGGGCCUCGACCCUAGAGGCUGCCCCUCGGUUCUGCUCCAUGGACGGCGCAGGCAGGCCCAGGCCUGUGACGAGUUCACGGAAGCUCCAGGAUGACCCCCGCUCUGCGCCCUCCUCCAGCAUUCCAGACCACAAACCACUCUGGGCUAAAACGAGGCAUCGCCAGAGCAUCCCACUUCCUCGGAAAGCUGCGGUCUGGGGACGUGUCUUGGCCCUGAGGAGGCUCCAGAUGGCUCCCAUCCGGCCUCUCCGCCUACGUGCGGCCGACAUGGAGUGACAGAGCGUCGGGAACACAGAAUUCAGAGCUGGGCCUGGGGCUGCUUUGAGAUACUGAUGGCUGCCAGGGGCACAGAGACCCGUCCUGCAGACAGGGCUGUGAGGGCCACGGGGGGCCUCGGGGAGAGGCAGUGGGAGGGAGGACAGUGGGGGCCUCCGGCUGGGUGAGCAGCUGGAGCGAGGGGGGCCCGGGGCUUGUGAUAGUGCUGCCGACCCUAGAGGUGCCGACCCUAGAGGUGCCGGCCCCACGAUGGGAGAGCACGUAGUGCACACCGGGAGUCAGGAGGCCGGGCCUGACCUCGGGGGCUGCAGCCAGGGGAGGCCGGCACCCCAGAUAACCCCCAAAGAACUGCAGGCCCUGAGGCGAGGCCAGAGUGGGGGCGGGGGCGGGUCCCAGCCGAGGAGGUGCUCCGUGCUGCCUCAGCAGAACCCAUGACGGGCUGGCCCAAGGCUCUGAAGGUGGAAAGGCCUCACACAUUCUGCCUCGGCUGACGCCUUCCUUGGGCCAGUGCUCGGCGGUGUGUAACAAACACCAAGACGCAUUGUAAAGAAGGAAGGCUGCGUUUCCAUCACCAGCUUAAUAUCAAACAAAAGUGCAAUUUUGAAAAUGUAGUCCAAGGUUGUUUUCUGUGGUGCAGAAAUGGCCAGGCCAGACCUCCGUGGGUGGUCCUUCGUGUCCACGUCAGCGCCCCACAUCCACGCUGUGGGCACCAUGACCUCACAUGCGGAGCUGAGCAGGGCCGGCGCCCGGAGAGCCAGGCUGGUCAUGAACGAGGCCUAGAGGGCGUCAGGCCCCAAAGCACUCACAGGCUUCUCUUCGGUCCUCGGGGCCUUCAGACACCUGCGUGCGCCGAUUCAGACACCCGCGCGCGCCGAUUCCCCUGGCCACGGGGUUUCCGAAGUGUGUGUUCAGAGGACAGUUUCCUCCAGGAUGACCUGUCAGUGGCUCUCUGUGCCGGGGAUGUCGCGUGCUGGGUCCCGGUCUGAAUGCUUCCUAAUGAUUUAACCAGUUCCUUUUCUCCACUCAGGAGGCGUUUGCUGAGAGGCACAGGCUGAGCCCCCGUGCUGAUGCCACGACCGAGUGAACGGGUCUCCCUGUCGGCAUGAACUGACCCGGCCAGGCGUCCACUGCCACUCGGACUGUCCCCCAGGCACGUGGCACCCACACGGGCAGAACACGCCCUCCACACACGCGGCUUCGGGCAGAACACGAGGCGCCCUCCACACACGCGGCUUCGGGGCUCAUCGUGAAAAAAGCCGAAUGCUGGGGGUGCAGCUUUCACCAACAGAAUGCCGUUUGGAAGGGACACGCCUGCAGGCCUGCAGAAGCUGCAUCUCGGGAUGGCCAAGAGCCCGGCCAGGCCCCACGGCUGCACCCAGGACGGGAUUCAUGCCCCGUGCCUGGCUUCUCACGACCACAGAGUGCCUUUCCCGGGACUGGAUGGAGGCAGAGUGAGAGAAGAGCCUGGAGCAAGUGUUUUGGACCACAGUGAUCAAACACGGAGCCCGUGGGAGGACGUGCGGGGCUUUGCCGGGCGAGCCCGAUGCUGCUCACGGCACCUGGAGUGUUCGGGCCGCUGUUCCGGCGGUGUUCUGAGCAGCCGUCAGACCUUGAGUUUUGCUGUCAAAAGCUCUUCUCUCCUGCCCCGAAAUAUACCCAGUCCAUGCCCCAAGAGAAAAGGCCUUUGUGCCAGGUGGGCACCCGGCUGCCUCUUGGCAAAGACUUGUUGGAAAAAUGAGUGAGUGACGAGGCUGCUGGUCAGCGUGUGGCCUGUGGCGUCACUGGGGCCUCUGGUGGCUGCUGGAACCAGAAGAGGAGCCUGCGCUGCAACCCGGGCUGCACCACGUCAGGGUCUCACCGGGAGCCGGAGAGCUUGUUCCCAGGCAACCCUGAAACAGAGAAGUGUCCUUGGAGGCUUCACCCACGCAGACCCGCAGCUUCCUGGUAGAAGCCGUCUGCACCCCCGCACUGACCUGGCUCUGUGAGGAGAGCGGGGAGAGGCUCCAGGGAAACAUCCUGGCGUUGGCGUAGCCAGCCUGUGAGUCACGGGGAAGCCGGCCUCCCGGAUGCCCCCCUAGGACCCGGUGAGUCCACACACAGCACAGCAGGGCAUGGGCCCGCACCACCGCCUUUUCCUGCAGGCCCCUCAUGUCCACUGACUGCACCUCCAGGGACUCUGCCCGGCAACCCAGGCGCCCCUGACCCACCCCACCACACAGCUCCUUCUGCCUCACCCACACGCCGCCAGACCCUGAGCGCUCACGAAGUCUCCUGGUCAAGAAUUUUGAGAGCCAGUUGCUAAACACAGAUGUUAUUUAUUUAUUUGAGACAGAGUCUUGCUCUGUCACCCAGGCUGGAGUGCAGUGGCACAAUCUCAGCUCACUGCAGCCUUGGCCUCCCGGUCCAGUGAUUCUCCUGCCUCAGCCUCCUGGGUAGCUGGGAUUGCAGGCGCCCACCACGCCCAGCUAGUUUUUGUAUUUUUAGUAGAGACGGGGUUUCGCCAAGUUGGCCAGGCUGGUCUCAAACUCCUGACCUCAGGUGAUCUGUCAGCCUCAGCCUCCCAAAGUGCUGGGAUUACAGGCGUGAGCCACCGCACCCGGGCUACAGAUGUUAUUUUUAAAAUUACAUAAACUUACAAUUAAAUACAUUAAGUUAAA
Long non-coding RNA from Gorilla gorilla gorilla (western lowland gorilla), 3472 nucleotides. RefSeq lists it as uncharacterized. The transcript is spliced from 2 exons. The record is from RefSeq and is a predicted model, not a curated record. NCBI's taxonomy places the organism in Eukaryota, Metazoa, Chordata, Mammalia, Primates, Hominidae.